GACGAACGCUGGCGGCGUGCCUAAUACAUGCAAGUAGGACGCAGUUGCGAACGGGUGAGUAACGCGUAGGUAACUACCUAUUAGAGGUGGCUAACUAUUGGAAACGAUCGCUAAUACCGCAUACUAGUAGAUCGACCUGCUUUGUAUUAGCUAGUAGGUAGGGUAACGGCCUACCUAGGCAACGAUACAUAGCCGACCUGAGAGGGGGAUCGGCCACACUGGGACGUGGGCACGGCCCAGACUCCGACUGGAGGCAGCAGUAGGGAAUCUUCGGCAAUGGGGGGAACCCUGUCCGAGCAACGCCGCGGGAGGGAAGAAGGGUUUCGGAUCGUAAAGCUCUGUUGUUAAGGAAGCGGUACUUAACCAGAAAGGGACGGCUAACUACGUGCCAGCAGCCGCGGUAAUUC
Molecule: ribosomal RNA, 407 nt
Filed under: uncultured bacterium
Lineage: Bacteria
Description: partial 16S ribosomal RNA
Rfam family: Bacterial small subunit ribosomal RNA
Source: RNAcentral